This 490-nucleotide ribosomal RNA is filed under the name uncultured bacterium. RNAcentral describes it as "partial 16S ribosomal RNA". It matches the Rfam family "Bacterial small subunit ribosomal RNA", at positions 29 to 505 of the family's 1533-position model. The record is from RNAcentral.
AGUGAACGCUGGCGGUAGGCCUAACACAUGCAAGUCGAACGGCAGCACAGUAAGAGCUUGCUCUUACGGGUGGCGAGUGGCGGACGGGUGAGGAAUGCAUCGGAAUCUACUUUUUCGUGGGGGAUAACGUAGGGAAACUUACGCUAAUACCGCAUACGACCUACGGGUGAAAGCAGGGGAUCUUCGGACCUUGCGCGAUUGAAUGAGCCGAUGUCGGAUUAGCUAGUUGGCGGGGUAAAGGCCCACCAAGGCGACGAUCCGUAGCUGGUCUGAGAGGAUGAUCAGCCACACUGGAACUGAGACACGGUCCAGACUCCUACGGGAGGCAGCAGUGGGGAAUAUUGGACAAUGGGCGCAAGCCUGAUCCAGCCAUACCGCGUGGGUGAAGAAGGCCUUCGGGUUGUAAAGCCCUUUUGUUGGGAAAGAAAAGCAGCAGGUUAAUACCCCGCUGUUCUGACGGUACCCAAAGAAUAAGCACCGGCUAACUUCG